AAAAACAAUAUACUAAUUGAGCUAUGGACUUCAUGAAAGUUAGAAAGUAUGUCAUUAAUCUUUGACUCCUAAGAACAUGGUGUAGUGGCUGACUCCUAGCAGGUAGUCAAUAAUAUUUAUUAAACUGAACUAAAUUGAAUUGAGGGCAACCGAUGUCUAGAAAAUGUAAAUAAUUUCACUUAGUCUACAGUGAUUAUGGAUAAAAGAAGAGAAAAAAUAGAAAUAUAGGUUUAGGAGUUCCAUCAUGGCUUAGUGGUUAAUGAACCUGACUAGUAUCCAUGAAGAUGUGGGUUCGAUCCUUGGCCUUGCUCGGUGUAUUGGGGAUCCAGCAUUGCCAUGAACUGUGGUAGGUCACAGACGCAGCUUGGAUCUGGUGUUGCUGUGACUGUGGCAUAGGCCGGCAGCUACAGCUUCAAUUCGACCCCUGGACUGGGAACCUCCAAAUGCUGUGGGUGUGGCCCUAAAAAGACCAAAUAUAUAUAUUACAACUAACACAUUUUUCUGGAAACAUGAGGUUUAUUAGAAAAGACUAACUUUCUGCAUGCUCAAAUUAUUUAUUGUUGACUUUGUAUAUUAGUUUUUAAAUGGUCAUUCUGGCUUCUGAUUCAUGUCAUCAGUAAUAGAUUGAAAUUGAAUUUUUAGAAAUCCCCCAUAUUUUGGAAAUUAUUUAUUAACAAAGGCGAAAAGGGUGGGAAAAAAGCCCAAAUUAAAAAAAAAAGGCUUGGUAAUUUAUGCACUUAAAAAAUUUUGCAGGGAGUUGCAACUGUGGCACAGUGGAUUAAGAAUCUGACUUCAGUGGCUCAGGUCCCUGUGGAGGUGCAGGUUCAGUCCCUGGCCCAGGAACUUCCAUAUGCCAUGGGUGUGGCCAUGAAAAAAAUUAGCAGGGUAUAUUUUUGUGUGAAUAGGUAUUUUAUCAAUUGGUCCAUCAAUCCACCUACUCACUUGCUCAUUAUAACAGUGUUGAGGUUGGCAUUUAGAAGCCUACUUGAGAAUCUGUUCUUUAUCAUCAGUGAAUUUUUUCAAUAACGUUUCUCUAAAUAAGAACUUUAAUGGAUAGCAAGUUAGGGUCUGAUUUCCAUUUUCUUUAUUGUAAAAAUUGGGCUUGCUUAUGUGGGUUGUGAGAAAAAUAUAUAGUCUUAAAAUACAUCCAUCCAAUCAUUCAACAUAAAUGUCAGUAACACAUACUUUGGGCUAAAUGCUGAGAAUUCAGUAGUGAAUACAGUUUACAGAUUUUAGAGAUGGAAGGAACACCAAGAGACAUUAUAGGAUGGGCUUGUGAGGCAUAGUUGCUGACUAAUGAGAGAUAGACAUGGAGAAACGUUAAAUGACUUGCCCAAGAUCACAGAGAUUGUAACUUAUUCCUCAGAAUGUAUAAGAUUAUUUUUAGGAGUUCCCGUCGUGGCGCAGUGGUUAAUGAAUCCGACUAGGAACCAUGAGGUUGCGGGUUCGAUCCCUGCCCUUGCUCAGUGGGUUAAGGAUCCGGCGUUGCCGUGAGCUGUGGUGUAGGUUGCAGACACGUUGCUCGGAUCCCGCGUUGCUGUGGCUCUGGCGUAGGCCGGUGGCUACAGCUCCGAUUCAACCCCUAGCCUGGGAACCUCCAUAUGCCGCGGGAGCAGCCCAAGAAAUAGCAACAACAACAACAAAAAAGACAAAAAAAAAAAAAAAUUAUAGUUAUAAAUAUUGAUAAGACACUAAAAUAGUACAAAAUAAUACUACGGAACAUACAAUACAAAUUGAUCCUUUCAUAAACUGUUCUUAGUUUGUAUAACACAGCAUCUUUUUAGAACUUGGGAUUUCUCUUAUUUGAUCUUUGUACUUUCUGUGGCUUUUGUCAAAUUUGUAUAUGGACUCUUUUUUAAGAAAAGAAAUUCCCAUAAUUCCCAACAGUCACAUUUUCAGAUGCUUAGUGGCUGGUGGAUCUCAGUUUGAGAAUGAAAAUGCCUUUUAACUACAAAUUACUACUGUAAAAGAGAUAUUUUGUUUUCAAUUGGCAAAGGUGUUUUGGAUUUCAAAAUGAAAAGAAAACAAAGUACAAUCAUCAAACAAUAAAAAAUUUUGCAGUUUUCAGGUCAAAAACUUAAUAUUUUUCAUAUGUAAACUUUACACAAAUUUGUAAGUAAUACAUUCAGACAUCCAUAAGUACAUGGGCAAACAACCUGAUAAAUAAUUUACAAAAGAUAAAAUAAAAAUGACUAGUAAGCAUUUAAAGUGUUCACCUUAAAUAAUAAUUUAAAAAAUAAUUUACAAUAGACCAUUUUUUGACUUAUAAAAUUGGAUGUUUUUAAAAACUAUAACCUAUUUUGAUGAAUAUUUUUAAUAAUAGGAAAAUAAUUACAAGCAAUCUAAUUAUCCAACAGUGUGGAAAGAAAAUAUGCAUUGAUGUAAUAUGGCAUUACCUGGACAUUAAAAUGUUGCUUUUGAAAAAUUUUAAAUAGUAGAAAUGCUUAAGUAUCAUACUAAGUGUAAGAAGCAGUGAACAAAAAGUGUGAUUUUUACCUUGUCAAAAUAUACCUAGAGGAUACUGAUAAGUAUAUAAUGGUAAUAGAAGAUAUUAUCAGUUGGAGAAACUGGGUGAAGAGUAUAAGCAAUUCUCAGUACUAUUUUUUCAACUUUUCUGUAAGUCUAAAAUUAUUUCAAAAUGUUAAAAAAAUAUACCUAGAAAAAGGACUCAUAGGAAAAACAACAAAAUCUUAGUAGUAACUUGCAUUUAGUAAAAAGCUUUUUCCUUUCAUUUAAAAAAUGCUCUCCUGUAACAAAUCUUUACAAGUUAUGUGUUAUAUAAUCAUUACAUCCACAUCCACACACAUACACAACCCCUCUCCCUGAAAUUAGAACAACAGAAGUUUCCGUUGUGGCUCAGUGGUAAUGAACCCAACAAAUAUCCAUGAGGACGUGGGUUUGAUCCCUGGCCUUGGUCAGUUAAGGUUCUGGUGUUGCCACGAGCUGUGGUGUAGGUCACAGAUGUGGCUUGGAUUUGGUUGCUAUGGCUGUGGCAUAGGCUGGCAGCUGCAGCUCCAAAUCAGCCCCUAGUCUGGGAACUUCUGUGUGCUGCAGGUGUGGCCCUAACAAGACAAAAAG
Molecule: long non-coding RNA, 3078 nt
Filed under: Sus scrofa (pig)
Lineage: Eukaryota; Metazoa; Chordata; Mammalia; Artiodactyla; Suidae
Description: lncRNA (ENSSSCG00015024967.1)
Source: RNAcentral